This 526-nucleotide ribosomal RNA is filed under the name uncultured bacterium. RNAcentral describes it as "bacterial SSU rRNA". It matches the Rfam family "Bacterial small subunit ribosomal RNA", at positions 984 to 1509 of the family's 1533-position model. The record is from RNAcentral.
ACAUUGAUGGACAGAACCAGAGAUGGUUCCUCUUCUUCGGAAGCCNGAAAACAGGUGGUGCACGGUUGUCGUCAGCUCGUGUCGUGAGAUGUUGGGUUAAGUCCCGCAACGAGCGCAACCCCUAUCUUAUGUUGCCAGCACUUUGGGUGGGGACUCAUGAGAGACUGCCGCAGACAAUGCGGAGGAAGGCGGGGAUGACGUCAAAUCACCAUGCCCCCUAUGAUCUGGGCUACACACGUACUACAAUGGGAGUUAAUAGACGGAAGCGAUAUCGCGAGAUGGAGCAAACCCGAGAAACACUCUCUCAGUUCGGAUCGUAGGCUGCAACUCGCCUACGUGAAGUCGGAAUCGCUAGUAAUCGCAGGUCAGCAUACUGCGGUGAAUACGUUCCCGGGCCUUGUACACACCGCCCGUCACACCACGAAAGUCGGAAGUGCCCAAAGCCGGUGGGGUAACCUUCGGGAGCCAGCCGUCUAAGGUAAAGUCGAUGAUUGGGGUGAAGUCGUAACAAGGUAAGCGUAGCGAG